GAUGAAGAACGCAGCGAAAUGCGAUACUUGGUGUGAAUUGCAGAAUCCCGUGAACCAUCGAGUCUUUGAACGCAAGUUGCGCCCGAAGCCAUUAGGCCGAGGGCACGCCUGCCUGGGCGUCACACGUCGUUGCCCCCCCAUCUACUCCUUCGGGAUUGCGGGGGGCGGAUGAUGGCCUCUCGUGCGCCUCGUCGCGCGGUUGGCCUAAAUGCCAAGUCCUCGGCGACGCACGCCACGACAAUCGGUGGUUGCGAAACCUCGGUUGCCUGUCGUGUGCGGUCGUCGCGCAUCGAGGGCUCGAAAAAAUUGCCGGGCUUCGGCUCGACUUUCAACGCGACCCCAGGUCAGGCGGGGUUACCCGCUGAAUUUAAGCAUAUCAAUAAGCGGAA
RNAcentral lists this unclassified non-coding RNA (389 nucleotides) under soil metagenome. RNAcentral describes it as "partial contains 5.8S ribosomal RNA, internal transcribed spacer 2, and large subunit ribosomal RNA". The stretch from base 1 to 122 matches the Rfam family "5.8S ribosomal RNA", at positions 35 to 154 of the family's 154-position model. The record is from RNAcentral.